RNAcentral lists this ribosomal RNA (505 nucleotides) under uncultured bacterium. RNAcentral describes it as "partial 16S ribosomal RNA". It matches the Rfam family "Bacterial small subunit ribosomal RNA", at positions 30 to 523 of the family's 1533-position model. The record is from RNAcentral.
AUUGAACGCUAACGGCGUGCUUAACACAUGCAAGUCGAGCGGCAGCACAGUAGUAGCAAUACUAUGGGUGGCGAGCGGCGGACGGGUGAGUAAUGCAUAGGAAUCUGCCUUGUAGUGGGGGAUAACCCGGGGAAACUCGGGCUAAUACCGCAUAAUCUCUACGGAGCAAAGUGGGGGACCGUAAGGCCUCACGCUAAAAGAUGAGCCUAUGUUGGAUUAGCUAGUUGGUAGGGUAAAGGCCUACCAAGGCAACGAUCCAUAGCUGGUCUGAGAGGAUGAUCAGCCACACUGGGACUGAGACACGGCCCAGACUCCUACGGGAGGCAGCAGUGGGGAAUUUUGGACAAUGGGGGCAACCCUGAUCCAGCAAUGCCGCGUGAGUGAAGAAGGCCUUCGGGUUGUAAAGCUCUUUUGUCAGGGAAGAAACACCGGCUCUAACACAGUCCGGGAAUGACGGUACCUGAAGAAUAAGCACCGGCUAACUACGUGCCAGCCGCCGCCGUAA